RNAcentral lists this ribosomal RNA (372 nucleotides) under uncultured Caldisericum sp. RNAcentral describes it as "bacterial SSU rRNA". It matches the Rfam family "Bacterial small subunit ribosomal RNA", at positions 997 to 1382 of the family's 1533-position model. Lineage: Bacteria; Pseudomonadati; Caldisericota; Caldisericia; Caldisericales; Caldisericaceae. The record is from RNAcentral.
CUGACCGCAAGGUCAUGGCUCAUCCACAGGUGCUGCAUGGUUGUCGUCAGCUCGUGUCGUGAGAUGUAAGGUUAAGUCCUUGAACGAGCGCAACCCCUUUCGUCAGUUGCAAACCAGCAAUGGCGCACCCUGACGAUACUGCCAGCUAAAGUUGGAGGAAGGAGGGGAUGACGUCAAAUCCUCAUGGCCUUUAUGUCCAGGGCUACACACAUGCGACAAUGGUCGGUACAACGAGUCGCAACACCGCGAGGUGAAGCCAAUCCCUAAAAACCGACCUCAGUUCAGAUUGCAGACUGCAAUUCGUCUACAUGAAGAUGGAGUUGCUAGUAACCGCGGGUCAGCUACACCGCGGUGAAUAUGUUCCCGGGCCUU